GUGGGGAAUCUUCCGCAAUGGACGAAAGUCUGACGGAGCGACGCCGCGUGAGUGAAGAAGGCCUUCGGGUUGUAAAGUACUUUCAGCGGGGAGGAAGGCGAUAAGGUUAAUAACCUUGUCGAUUGACGUUACCCGCAGAAGAAGCACCGGCUAACUCCGUGCCAGCAGCCGCGGUAAUACGGAGGGUGCAAGCGUUAAUCGGAAUUACUGGGCGUAAAGCGCACGCAGGCGGUCUGUCAAGUCGGAUGUGAAAUCCCCGGGCUCAACCUGGGAACUGCAUUCGAAACUGGCAGGCUAGAGUCUUGUAGAGGGGGGUAGAAUUCCAGGUGUAGCGGUGAAAUGCGUAGAGAUCUGGAGGAAUACCGGUGGCGAAGGCGGCCCCCUGGACAAAGACUGACGCUCAGGUGCGAAAGCGUGGGGAGCAAACAGGAUUAGAUACCCGAGUAGUCC
Molecule: ribosomal RNA, 450 nt
Filed under: uncultured bacterium
Lineage: Bacteria
Description: partial 16S ribosomal RNA
Rfam family: Bacterial small subunit ribosomal RNA
Source: RNAcentral